UUCAAAGACAGAAGGGCAGA
RNAcentral lists this microRNA (20 nucleotides) under Monodelphis domestica (gray short-tailed opossum). Its description in RNAcentral is "mdo-miR-12377-3p". Lineage: Eukaryota; Metazoa; Chordata; Mammalia; Didelphimorphia; Didelphidae. The record is from miRBase by way of RNAcentral.